AUAGUAAACUGCGAGUUGUAUAUG
This 24-nucleotide non-coding RNA is filed under the name Arabidopsis thaliana (thale cress). Lineage: Eukaryota; Viridiplantae; Streptophyta; Magnoliopsida; Brassicales; Brassicaceae. The record is from RNAcentral.